Molecule: ribosomal RNA, 1372 nt
Filed under: uncultured bacterium
Lineage: Bacteria
Description: bacterial SSU rRNA
Rfam family: Bacterial small subunit ribosomal RNA
Source: RNAcentral
GAUGAACGCUGGCGGCGUGCCUAAUACAUGCAAGUCGAGCGAACGGACGAGAAGCUUGCUUCUCUGAUGUUAGCGGCGGACGGGUGAGUAACACGUGGAUAACCUACCUAUAAGACUGGGAUAACUUCGGGAAACCGGAGCUAAUACCGGAUAAUAUUUUGAACCGCAUGGUUCAAAAGUGAAAGACGGUCUUGCUGUCACUUAUAGAUGGAUCCGCGCUGCAUUAGCUAGUUGGUAAGGUAACGGCUUACCAAGGCAACGAUGCAUAGCCGACCUGAGAGGGUGAUCGGCCACACUGGAACUGAGACACGGUCCAGACUCCUACGGGAGGCAGCAGUAGGGAAUCUUCCGCAAUGGGCGAAAGCCUGACGGAGCAACGCCGCGUGAGUGAUGAAGGUCUUCGGAUCGUAAAACUCUGUUAUUAGGGAAGAACAUAUGUGUAAGUAACUGUGCACAUCUUGACGGUACCUAAUCAGAAAGCCACGGCUAACUACGUGCCAGCAGCCGCGGUAAUACGUAGGUGGCAAGCGUUAUCCGGAAUUAUUGGGCGUAAAGCGCGCGUAGGCGGUUUUUUAAGUCUGAUGUGAAAGCCCACGGCUCAACCGUGGAGGGUCAUUGGAAACUGGAAAACUUGAGUGCAGAAGAGGAAAGUGGAAUUCCAUGUGUAGCGGUGAAAUGCGCAGAGAUAUGGAGGAACACCAGUGGCGAAGGCGACUUUCUGGUCUGUAACUGACGCUGAUGUGCGAAAGCGUGGGGAUCAAACAGGAUUAGAUACCCUGGUAGUCCACGCCGUAAACGAUGAGUGCUAAGUGUUAGGGGGUUUCCGCCCCUUAGAGCUGCAGCUAACGCAUUAAGCACUCCGCCUGGGGAGUACGACCGCAAGGUUGAAACUCAAAGGAAUUGACGGGGACCCGCACAAGCGGUGGAGCAUGUGGUUUAAUUCGAAGCAACGCGAAGAACCUUACCAAAUCUUGACAUCCUUUGACAACUCUAGAGAUAGAGCCUUCCCCUUCGGGGGACAAAGUGACAGGUGGUGCAUGGUUGUCGUCAGCUCGUGUCGUGAGAUGUUGGGUUAAGUCCCGCAACGAGCGCAACCCUUAAGCUUAGUUGCCAUCAUUAAGUUGGGCACUCUAAGUUGACUGCCGGUGACAAACCGGAGGAAGGUGGGGAUGACGUCAAAUCAUCAUGCCCCUUAUGAUUUGGGCUACACACGUGCUACAAUGGACAAUACAAAGGGCAGCGAAACCGCGAGGUCAAGCAAAUCCCAUAAAGUUGUUCUCAGUUCGGAUUGUAGUCUGCAACUCGACUACAUGAAGCUGGAAUCGCUAGUAAUCGUAGAUCAGCAUGCUACGGUGAAUACGUUCCCGGGUCU